This 377-nucleotide ribosomal RNA is filed under the name uncultured bacterium. RNAcentral's name for it is "bacterial SSU rRNA". It matches the Rfam family "Bacterial small subunit ribosomal RNA", at positions 521 to 896 of the family's 1533-position model. The record is from RNAcentral.
UAAUACAGAGGUCUCAAGCGUUGUUCGGAUUCAUUGGGCGUAAAGGGCGCGUAGGCGGUGAAGUAAGUCUGGUGUGAAAUCUAGGAGCUUAACUCCUAAACUGCACUGGAUACUGUUUUGCUUGAGGACUGGAGAGGAGAUUGGAAUUCACGGUGUAGCAGUGAAAUGCGUAGAUAUCGUGAGGAAGACCAGUGGCGAAGGCGGAUCUCUGGACAGUUCCUGACGCUGAGGCGCGAAGGCCAGGGGAGCAAAUGGGAUUAGAUACCCCAGUAGUCCUGGCAGUAAACGGUGCACGUUUGGUGUGCGCGGAUUCGACCCCGUGCGUGCCGGAGCUAACGCGUUAAACGUGCCGCCUGAGGAGUACGGUCGCAAGAUUA